Molecule: ribosomal RNA, 497 nt
Filed under: uncultured bacterium
Lineage: Bacteria
Description: partial 16S ribosomal RNA
Rfam family: Bacterial small subunit ribosomal RNA
Source: RNAcentral
GAUGAACGCUGGCGGCGUGCCUAAUACAUGCAAGUCGAGCGAACAGACGAGGAGCUUGCUCCUCUGACGUUAGCGGCGGACGGGUGAGUAACACGUGGAUAACCUACCUAUAAGACUGGGAUAACUUCGGGAAACCGGAGCUAAUACCGGAUAAUAUAUUGAACCGCAUGGUUCAAUAGUGAAAGACGGUUUUGCUGUCACUUAUAGAUGGAUCCGCGCCGCAUUAGCUAGUUGGUAAGGUAACGGCUUACCAAGGCAACGAUGCGUAGCCGACCUGAGAGGGUGAUCGGCCACACUGGAACUGGGACACGGUCCAGACUCCUACGGGAGGCAGCAGUAGGGAAUCUUCCGCAAUGGGCGAAAGCUUGACGGAGCAACGCCGCGUGAGUGAUGAAGGUCUUCGGAUCUUAAAACUCUGUUAUUAGGGAAGAACAAAUGUGUAAGUAACUAUGCACGUCUUGACGGUACCUAAUCAGAAAGCCACGGCUAACUACGUG